Non-coding RNA from Doryrhamphus excisus (bluestripe pipefish), 572 nucleotides. NCBI's taxonomy places the organism in Eukaryota, Metazoa, Chordata, Actinopteri, Syngnathiformes, Syngnathidae. The record is from RefSeq and is a predicted model, not a curated record.
CUUUGAUCAGCGUUUGCAUGCAAAUUGAAGCACGGCCACGUCGAUACAAGCUGGAGCUGUAGAUCAUCUUACAAUAUGUGUCUUUGCAUCACCUUCUGCCUCCCAACGCUCUUUCAUGACCGCCACAGUUCAAGAUGGAUUGAAGAAUCCACCCAGCAUCGUUCUCCAAAACUGGACGGGCGGGCGAAUUCCCUUUGGCUUCUGCUUCAUCAUCGUCGUCCUCCUCCUCCUUUUCCUCCUCUCCACAGCGAGUGCAGAAGUCUCACGGCGUGACGAGAAUAUCCUUACAGUAAAGCUCGGAUGUCAUGGUGUCGCAUAGAGGUGGGCAGAGAGGUCGUUGCCACGGCGACCAGCAAAUCGACUGAACCAAGAGACAUAUGACGUGCUUGAGCCCACUCUACUCUCACUGUGCGUCACUUUCAUAACAAGGUUUGUAAUGAUCUACAUGACAAUCUGUGCAGGGCCUCCCUCCAUAGUGAGGCUGAGGGCUGAAGGGGAGGGAGGAACGGUUGUGUGACAGCUCUGAAGGGGAGCAGUGCAUGCUGGGAUUGCGGCCCGCUGGGAGAGAGGCA